AUGCACGCUGGCGGCGUGCCUAAUACAUGCAGGUCGAGCGAACGGACGAGAAGCUUGCUUCUCUGAUGUUAGCGGCGGACGGGUGAGUAACACGUGGAUAACCUACCUAUAAGACUGGGAUAACUUCGGGAAACCGGAGCUAAUACCGGAUAAUAUUUUGAACCGCAUGGUUCAAAAGUGAAAGACGGUCUUGCUGUCACUUAUAGAUGGAUCCGCGCUGCAUUAGCUAGUUGGUAAGGUAACGGCUUACCAAGGCAACGAUGCAUAGCCGACCUGAGAGGGUGAUCGGCCACACUGGAACUGAGACACGGUCCAGACUCCUACGGGAGGCAGCAGUAGGGAAUCUUCCGCAAUGGGCGAAAGCCUGACGGAGCAACGCCGCGUGAGUGACGAAGGUCUUCGGAUCGUAAAACUCUGUUAUUAGGGAAGAACAUAUGUGUAAGUAACUGUGCACAUCUUGACGGUACCUAAUCAGAAAGCCACGGCUAACUACGUG
This 496-nucleotide ribosomal RNA is filed under the name uncultured bacterium. RNAcentral describes it as "partial 16S ribosomal RNA". It matches the Rfam family "Bacterial small subunit ribosomal RNA", at positions 29 to 507 of the family's 1533-position model. The record is from RNAcentral.